Gallus gallus (chicken) is the source of this 543-nucleotide long non-coding RNA. NCBI's taxonomy places the organism in Eukaryota, Metazoa, Chordata, Aves, Galliformes, Phasianidae. The record is from Ensembl.
UUCCUUUUGUUUUGGAUGAUGUGAUCAACCAGAAAUAAUGUCUGUGAGAUGGUAACAUGGAAUAAUAACAGAGAUUAUUUAUAUAUCUUCAAACAGUUUACAUGGGAUGAAAAGAAGUUAAACUAGCACAUACCUAAGCCUUUGCUUCAGACCUUUUUUGACAUAUGGCAGCAGAGGGGCAGUCUGACAAAAUGGCAUCUGACAUGGAAGUAUGGAUGAAAAAAGGUGCAAAAUUGAAUUCCUUUAUGUGGAAAAAGCUGCACCCACUGACAUUCAUCAAUGCUUGCUGAAAGUUUAUGGAGAUCAAACAGCAGAUGGUAGUACAGUGAGGUGGAGGGUGGUGCACUUCAGCAAUUGCAACAGUGAAGUGAAUGACCAAAUUCCUGACAGCCACGCACAGCUAUCACACCUCCAAAUGAAGAGUGUCUCUAUAGUUCAUCCACAUGAAUCGGUGGCUUACGACCAGGGAAUUGUGUCUUCAACGUUCUGGAAACAUUGGUAGUAACACUGGAAUAUUACAAAUUUUGUUCCAGAUGGGUCCCA